CCCUUAGAUGUUCUGGGCCGCACGCGCGCUACACUGACGAAGUCAGCGAGCAUGUCCUACGCCGACAGGUGCGGGGAAUCUUGUCAAACUUCGUCGUGAUGGGGAUUGAUUAUUGAAAUUCUUGAUCAUCAACGAGGAAUUCCUAGUAAGCGCAAGUCAGCAGCUUGCGUUGAUUACGCCCCUGCCCUUUGUACACACCGCCCGUCGCUACUACCGAUUGAAUGGUUUAGUGAGAUCUUCGGAUUGGCGCCACUGCGGCUCAGCAAUGGACUCGGUGGAUGCCGAAAAGUUGAUCAAACUUGAUCAUUUAGAGGAAGUAAAAGUCGUAACA
RNAcentral lists this ribosomal RNA (331 nucleotides) under uncultured eukaryote. RNAcentral describes it as "partial 18S ribosomal RNA". It matches the Rfam family "Eukaryotic small subunit ribosomal RNA", at positions 1470 to 1796 of the family's 1831-position model. The record is from RNAcentral.